Molecule: small nuclear RNA, 146 nt
Filed under: Pogona vitticeps (central bearded dragon)
Lineage: Eukaryota; Metazoa; Chordata; Lepidosauria; Squamata; Agamidae
Description: U1 spliceosomal RNA (ENSPVIG00000010416.1)
Rfam family: U1 spliceosomal RNA
About the family: U1 is a small nuclear RNA (snRNA) component of the spliceosome (involved in pre-mRNA splicing). Its 5' end forms complementary base pairs with the 5' splice junction, thus defining the 5' donor site of an intron.
Source: RNAcentral
AAUGUAACCUGGCAAGAGUGAUACCAUGGUCAUGAAAGUGGUUUUCCCAGGAUGAGAUUUAUCUCUUGCACUCUGGGUUGUUGACUCCUGCUAAAUGCAGGAAAGUCAGCUUGGUAAUUUGUGCUGUGGUGGUGUAUUAGACCAAA